UAAAAACCAGGUGAUGACUGACAGCUGAGACUGAGUUGUGAUUGGUCAAGCACGUUUAUCAGCGGAACCUCAGCACCAUGGCUCCGUCAAUGACUCUGUCGGCAGCUCCCGUAUCUGUGACAGUUGGUCCAUCUUUAUAUACCGUCUCUAGUAACAUUCUUCAACAUUACACAUAGUCAUUUCAUCUGUUGUUAACAGCUCCAGGUUUAAGGUCCACAGUGUUUUGUGUCAGUAUCAGUGUUUAUUCACAAAUGCAGUAUCUGAUUGUUUGUGUUGCAGUGUGAGUGAAUCCCUUCCUGAUGCCGUGCUGCUGAUGUGGACUGUAUCAAAUCCAGCAGCCAGAGGCCAGCACCAGCUCCAUUGCUGUCUCCGCUAUAUUCCCUCGCCAGCUCUGUUGCUAUGUGCCUAAACCUGCCUGAGCCCAUUAAUAAGAGACCCACAAUCAUCUACAAACCCAACAUCUCUUUGAAAGCACGCUGUACUCCAGCUCUCUCAUCAGCAAAACCGUGAGGUAAGCAGCCGUCGCUCCUGACCACCAACCGUGACUCAUUCCCAACGUUUGCCUGUCCGUGAGCUCCGAGAGCGGCUGUCCUUCCACCGUAAACAGCAUUUAGAUGUUAUGACAGGGACACGAUUACCACCUCUGUUUGUGUUGAACUGACAGGGAGGAAAUUCAUCGGAGGUGAAUCCUAAGAAACUCUAACCAAUGUUUUUUGUAACCACUCCGUGUGAUUUAAAGACCAGACCAAAACCUUGUCCCUAGUUCAACAAAGUGUCAUCUGAAAAACUCUUCUCUUCUUUUCCCUCCUGCUCUCUCUGAUACACCACAG
Molecule: long non-coding RNA, 830 nt
Filed under: Scophthalmus maximus (turbot)
Lineage: Eukaryota; Metazoa; Chordata; Actinopteri; Pleuronectiformes; Scophthalmidae
Description: lncRNA (ENSSMAG00000023562.1)
Source: RNAcentral